AUGGUCAUUAACUUUCCAUAUACGGAUAGUCUGCAAAGUUUACAAACAAGAGUGAAAGCAAUAACGAUGGGUGAUGAUUAUGGUAUGAUUGCCGGAUUAAUAAUUCAGUGGAAGAAAGCUAUUUUACUGGAAAAGAUAAAUCCAAUGUUAAACAUAGUACGAAUGUACUUCACCUGCAAAUUUUUCUUAUCAUUCUAUCAUUGCAGAGGUUAUAUAAACCACAAAAUCACACUGCUGGUCACACUAUUGGUCACACUACUAACAACAGGUCCAAAUGAAACCCGAGAAAUUAAAUUGAAAUCUUGGUGA
RNAcentral lists this ribosomal RNA (309 nucleotides) under Triticum aestivum (bread wheat). RNAcentral's name for it is "partial small subunit ribosomal RNA". The record is from RNAcentral. Lineage: Eukaryota; Viridiplantae; Streptophyta; Magnoliopsida; Poales; Poaceae.